UGCCCUGUGACAAUGUUUAACGGCCGCGGUAUUUUGACCGUGCGAAGGUAGCGUAAUCACUUGUCUUUUAAAUGAAGACCUGUAUGAAAGGCAUCACGAGAGUUUAACUGUCUCUAUUUCCUAAUCAAUGAAAUUGAUCUUCUCGUGCAGAAGCGAGAAUAUUACCAUUAGACGAGAAGACCCUAUGGAGCUUCAAACACUUAGGUUAAUUAUGUAAAAUUAUGAUCCUUAGGGAAAAAAUCACUUAUACAAUACUCCUAAUUUAACUGUUUUUGGUUGGGGUGACCGAGGGGGAGAAAAAAUCCCCCUUAUCGACUGAGUACUAAAGUACUUAAAAAUUAGAACGACAGUUCUGAUUAAUAAAACAUUUACCGAAAAAUGACCCAGAUUUUUCUGAUCAAUGAACCAAGUUACCCUAGGGAUAACAGCGCAAUCCUCUCCCAGAGUCCCUAUCGCCGAGAGGGUUUACGACCUCGAUGUUGGAUCAGGACAUCCUAAU
RNAcentral lists this ribosomal RNA (499 nucleotides) under Deania profundorum. RNAcentral describes it as "partial 16S ribosomal RNA". It matches the Rfam family "Bacterial large subunit ribosomal RNA", at positions 1860 to 2551 of the family's 2925-position model. The record is from RNAcentral. Lineage: Eukaryota; Metazoa; Chordata; Chondrichthyes; Squaliformes; Centrophoridae.